RNAcentral lists this ribosomal RNA (381 nucleotides) under uncultured fungus. RNAcentral's name for it is "SSU rRNA". It matches the Rfam family "Eukaryotic small subunit ribosomal RNA", at positions 587 to 972 of the family's 1831-position model. The record is from RNAcentral. Lineage: Eukaryota; Fungi.
AGCUCCAAUAGCGUAUAUUCAAGUUGUUGCAGUUAAAAAGCUCGUAGUUGAAUUUUGGAUCUGGUCAAGUGGUUUGGGCGCAAGCUCAACACUGCUUUGGCUGGGUCUAUUUCUUUUGGGGAAUUAAAGUGCUAUUUAUUUAGUGCUUUAGGGAACCAAAACUGUUACUUUGAAAAAAUUAGAGUGUUUAAAACAGGCUUAUGCUUGAAUACAUUAGCAUGGAAUAACGGAAUAGGACUUUGUUUCUAUUUUGUUGGUUUGAGAAAUGAAGUAAUGAUUAAUAGGGACAGUUGGGGGCAUUAGUAUUCCAUUGUCAGAGGUGAAAUUCUUGGAUUUAUGGAAGACUAACUUCUGCGAAAGCAUUUGCCAAGGAUGUUUUCA